GCGUUGUUCGGAAUUACUGGGUGUAAAGGGUGCGCAGGUGGUUAGUUAAGUCUGAUGUGAAAUCCCUGGGCCCAACUCAGGAACUGCAUUGGAAACUGGCUAGCUUUGAGUACCGGAGAGGGAAGCGGAAUUCCUGGUGUAGCGGUGAAAUGCGUAGAUACCAGGAGGAACACCGGUGGCGAAGGCGGCUUCCUGGCCGAGUACUGACGCUCAUGCACGAAAGCGU
RNAcentral lists this ribosomal RNA (226 nucleotides) under uncultured bacterium. Its description in RNAcentral is "partial 16S ribosomal RNA". It matches the Rfam family "Bacterial small subunit ribosomal RNA", at positions 538 to 762 of the family's 1533-position model. The record is from RNAcentral.